RNAcentral lists this ribosomal RNA (253 nucleotides) under uncultured bacterium. Its description in RNAcentral is "partial 16S ribosomal RNA". It matches the Rfam family "Bacterial small subunit ribosomal RNA", at positions 524 to 776 of the family's 1533-position model. The record is from RNAcentral.
UACGAAGGGGGCUAGCGUUGUUCGGAUUUACUGGGCGUAAAGCGCACGUAGGCGGAUCGUUAAGUCAGGGGUGAAAUCCUGGAGCUCAACUCCAGAACUGCCUUUGAUACUGGCGAUCUUGAGUCCGGAAGAGGUGAGUGGAACUCCUAGUGUAGAGGUGGAAUUCGUAGAUAUUAGGAAGAACACCAGUGGCGAAGGCGGCUCACUGGUCCGGUACUGACGCUGAGGUGCGAAAGCGUGGGUAGCAAACAGG